Molecule: unclassified non-coding RNA, 346 nt
Filed under: uncultured fungus
Lineage: Eukaryota; Fungi
Description: sequence contains ITS1, 5.8S rRNA gene
Rfam family: 5.8S ribosomal RNA (bases 298-346)
Source: RNAcentral
UCUCCGUAGGUGAACCUGCGGAGGGAUCAUUAACAUCAACACAUGGUUGAGUGGGUGGCACCGUGGUCACUUCGAUCACAUCCCCCACUCCAUCCUACACCACUGCGAACUCAUUCACAAAUUCUCACCACGCAACCGUUCAUGUCAGGAGCAGUCGCAUUCACAUGCUGCUGGUCCGGUGUCUUGGUCUGCUGGUACCCACACCAUAUAUACAUUUUUACUCCUCCACCCAUAUACCUAUACACAAAUGUGAGAUCGACAGUUCAUCUGUCCUGAUCCAACUAAAUCAAUUUAUACCACUCCUAGCAAUGGAUAUCUUGGUUCUCGUACCGAUGAAGAACGCAGC